AUGAUCUACGUCCACACCAAGAUGAUGAUCGUGGACGACGAGUACAUCAUCGUGGUGUCCGCGAACAACCAGAGGUCCAUGGACGGGGCGCGCGACUCAGAGAUCGCCAUGGGCGGGUACCAGCCGGGCCACCUGGCGACAAGCCGGCCGGCGAGGGGGCAGAUGCACGGGUUCAGGAUGGCGCUGUGGUACGAGCACCUCGGCAUGAUGGACGAGGCAUUCCAGCGGCCGAAGAGCCUCGAGUGCGUGCACAAGGUGAACGCCAUGGCCGAAAGGUACUGGGACCUCUACGCCGGCGACGGCCCCGAGCGCGACCUCCCCGGCCACCUCCUCACCUACCCUGUCAGCGUCAGCGCGAACUCCCCGGUGGUACGUUGGUCAAAACAAAGAAAGAGAGGAAGACGGUUUUUGGUUUGA
Molecule: ribosomal RNA, 417 nt
Filed under: Triticum aestivum (bread wheat)
Lineage: Eukaryota; Viridiplantae; Streptophyta; Magnoliopsida; Poales; Poaceae
Description: partial small subunit ribosomal RNA
Source: RNAcentral